Non-coding RNA from Triticum aestivum (bread wheat), 83 nucleotides. Lineage: Eukaryota; Viridiplantae; Streptophyta; Magnoliopsida; Poales; Poaceae. The record is from Rfam.
AGAUGAGAUAAUGAAUGAUUAAUUUACCUACUGGUUUGAUUGGUAACAUGAUGGCCUAAAUACUGAACCGAAUCUGAUCAUCC